This 273-nucleotide ribosomal RNA is filed under the name uncultured bacterium. RNAcentral's name for it is "partial 16S ribosomal RNA". It matches the Rfam family "Bacterial small subunit ribosomal RNA", at positions 524 to 796 of the family's 1533-position model. The record is from RNAcentral.
GACAGAGGGUGCAAACGUUGCUCGGAAUCACUGGGCGUAAAGGGCGUGUAGGCGGGAAGGAAAGUCAGAUGUGAAAUCCCCAGGCUCAACCUGGGAACUGCAUUUGAAACUCCCUUUCUUGAGUACCGGAGAGGAAAGUGGAAUUCCUGGUGUAGAGGUGAAAUUCGUAGAUAUCAGGAGGAACACCAGUGGCGAAGGCGGCUUUCUGGACGGUAACUGACGCUGAGACGCGAAAGCGUGGGGAGCAAACAGGAUUAGAAACCCCCGUAGUCC